GCUGCCUAUGGGAGCCGUGGGAAGUGUCACGUUACCGCAGAGAUCCUUUGUUUUGGAAAGAGAUGUCAAAGAAAGCCAAUAAAUGGUCAGACAGGCCACUUCCUGUAAAGGAAUCUCUCAGGUUUUUGCCUGCCAUAUGAGUUCUGUUAUACUCACAGACACCAUUCAAACAGUUUUAGAAACUUUAGGGUGUUUUCUAUCCAUAUCUAAUAAGUAUAUGCAUAUUCUAGUUACUGGGUAGGAGUAGUAACCAGAUUAAAUCGGGUACGUUUUUUAUCCGGCGGUGUAAAUACUGCCCCCUAGCCCUAAGAGGUUAACAGAGUAGGAGGGGAGUAGAUUGUUGUCUGUAGUGUUUAACAGAGUAGGAGUGGAGUAGAGUGUUGUCUGUAGUGUUUAACAGAGUAGAAGGGUGUAGAGUAGAGUAUUGUCUGUAGUGUUUAACAGAGUAGGAGGGGAGUAGAGUGUUGUCUGCAGUGUUUAACAGAGUAGGAAGCGAGUAGAGUGGUGUCUGUAGUGUUUAACAGUUGGAGGGGGGUAUAGUGUUGUCUGUAGUGUUUAACAGAGUAGGAGGGGAGUAGAGUGUUGUCUGUAGUGUUUAACAAAAUAGGAGGAGAGUAGAGUAGAGUGUUUUCUGCAGUGUUUAACCGAGUAGGAGGGGAUUAGAGUAGUGUUGUCCAUAGUGUUUUAUAUAGGUGUAGGGGUGUAGAGUGUUGUCUUUAGUGUUUAACAGAGUGGAAGGGAAGUAGAGUGGAGAAUUGUCUGUAGUGUUUAACAAAGUAUAAUGUGAGUAGAGUAGAGAAUUGUCUGUAGUUUUUAACUGAGUAGGAGGUCAGGACAGUUCUGUGUGUUGUGUUUAACAGAGUGGGAGGGUGUAGAGUGUUGUCUGUAGUGUUUAACAGAGUAGAAGGGGAGUAAAGUAUAGUGUUGUCUGUAGUGUUUAACAGAGUAGGAAGGGAGUAGAGUGUUCUCUGGUGUGUUUAACAGAGUGGGAGGGUGUAGAGUGUUGUCUGUAGUGUUUAACAAAGUUGAAUGUGAGUAGAGUAGAGAAUUGUCUGUAGUUUUUAACAGAGUAGGAGGGGAGUAGAGUAGCGUGUUGUCUGUUGUGUUUAACAGAGUAGGAGGGGAGGGGAGUAGAGUGUUGUCUGUAGUGUUUUAAAGAGUAUAAAGGGAGUAGAGUAGAGUGUUGUCUGCAGUGUUUAACAGAGUAGGAGGGGAGUAGAGUAUAGUGUUGUCUGUAGUGUUUAACAGAGUAGGAGAAGGUAGAGUGUUGUCUGUAGUGUUUAACAGAGUAGGAGGGGAGUAGAGUGUUGUCUGUAGUGUUUAAAAUAGUAUAAAGGGAGUAGAGUAGAGUGUUGUCUGUAGUGUUUACCAGAGUAGGAGGGGAGUAGAGUGUUGUCUCUAGUGUUUAACAGAGUAGUAGGAGGUAGAGUGUCGUCUGUAGUGUUUAACAGAGUAGAAGGGGAGUAGAGUGUUGUCUGUAGUGUUUAACAAAGUAGGAGGGGAGUAGAGUAGAGUGUUGUCUGUAGUGUUUAAAAAAGUAGGAAAAGAGUAGAGUGUUGUCUGUAGUGUUUAACAGAGUAGGAGGGGAGUAGAGUAGAGUGUUGUCUGUAGUGUUUAACAGAGUAGGAAGGGAGUAGAGCAGAGUGUUGUCUGUCGUGUUUAACAGAGUAUGAGGGGAGUAGAGUGUUUUCUGUAGUGUUUAAUAGAGUAGGAGAGUAGUAGGGUAGAGUGUUGUCUGUAGUGUUUAACAAAGUAGGAGUGGAGUAGAGUAGAGUGUUGUCUAUAGUGUUUAACAAAGUAGGAAAAGAGUAGAGUGUUGUCUGUAGUGUUUAACAGAGUAGGAGGGGAGUAGAGUAGAGUGUUGUCUGUAGUGUUUAACAGAGGAGGAGGGGAGUAGAGUGUUGUCUGUAGUGUUUAACAGAGUAGAAGGGGAGUAAAGUAUAGUGUUGUCUGUCGUGUUUAACAGAGUAUGAGGGGAGUAGAGUCUUUUCUGUAGUGUUUAAUAGAGUAGGAGUGUAGUAGGGUAGAGUGUUGUCUGUAGUGUUUAACAAAGUAGGAGGAGAGUAGAGUAGAGUGUUUUCUGUAGUGUUUAACCGAGUAGGAGGGGAUUAGAGUAGUGUUGUCCAUAGUGUUUUAUAUAGGUGUAGGGGUGUAGAGUGUUGUCUUUAGUGUUUAACAGAGUGGAAGGGAAGUAGAGUGGAGAAUUGUCUGUAGUGUUUAGCAAAGUAUAAUGUGAGUAGAGUAGAGAAUUGUCUGUAGUUUUUAACUGAGUAGGAGGUCAGGACAGUUCUGUGUGUUGUGUUUAACAGAGUGGGAGGGUGUAGAGUGUUGUCUGUAGUGUUUAACAGAGUAGAAGGGGAGUAAAGUAUAGUGUUGUCUGUAGUGUUUAACAGAGUAGGAAGGGAGUAGAGUGUUCUCUGGUGUGUUUAACAGAGUGGGAGGGUAGUAGAGUGUUGUCUGUAGUGUUUAACAAAGUAGAAUGUGAGUACAGUGGAGAAUUGUCUGUAGUGUUUAACAACGUAGGAGGGGAGUAGAGUGCUGUCUGUAGUGUUUAACAGAGUAGUAGGGGUGUAGACUGUUGUCUUUAGUGUUUUACAGAGUAGGAGGGGAAUAGAGUAGGGUGUUGUCUGCUGUGUUUAACAGAGUAGGAGGGGAGUAGAGUAGUGUUGUCUUUAGUUUUUAACAGAGUAGCAUUUGUGUUGAUUAGAGUGUUGUCUGUAGUGUUUAACAGAGUAGGACGAGAGUGGAGUAGAGUGUUGUCUGUAGUUUUUAACAGAGUAGAAGGGGAGUAGAGUGUUGUCUUUAGUGUUAAACAGAGUCGCAGGGGAGUUGAGUGUUGUCUGUACUGUUUAACAGAGUAGGAGGGGAGUAGAGUGCUGUCUGUAGUGUUUAACAGAGUUGCAGGGGAGUAGAGUUUUGUCUGUAGUUUUUAACAGGGUAGAAGGGGAGUUGAGUAGAGUGUUGUCUGUAGUGUUUAGCAGAGUUGGAGGUGAGUAGAGUAGAGUGUUGUCUGUAAUUUUAACAGAGUAGGAGGGAGUAGAGUAAAGUGUUGUAUGUAGUGUUUAACAGAGUUGCAGGGGAGUAGAGUGAAGUCUGUAGUGUUUAACAGAGUAGGAGGGGAACAGAGUAAAGUGUUGUCUGCAGUGUUUAACAGAAUAGGAGGGGAGUAGAGUAGUGUUGUCUGUCGUGUUUAACAGAGUAGCAUUUGAGUAGAUUAGUGUUGUCUGUAGUGUUUAACAGAGUAGGAGGGGAGUAGAGUCAAGUGUUGUCUGUUGUUUUUAACAGAGUUGAAGGGGUGUAGAGUAAAGUGUUGUCUGUAGUGUUUAACAGAGUAGGAGGGGAGUAGAGUGUUGUCUGUAGUGUUUAACAGAGUAGGAGGGGAGUAGAGUGUUGUCUGUAGUGUUUAACAGAGUAUGAGGGGAGUAGAGUGUUGUCUGUAGCGUUUAAGAGAGUAGGAGGGGAGUAGAGUGUUGUCUGCAGUGUUUAACAGAGUAGGAGGGGAGGGGAGUAGAAUAUUGUCUGUAGUGUUUAACAGAGUAGGAGGGGAGUAUAGUGUUGUCUCUAGUGUUUAACAGAGUAGGAGGAGGUAGAGUGUUGUCUGUAGUGUUUAACAUAGUAGGAAAGGGAGAAAAGUGUUGUCUGUAGUGUUUAAAAGAGUAGGAGGGGAGUGGAAUGUUGUCUGUAGUGUUUAACAGAGUAGGAGGGGAGUAGAGCUUUGUCUGUAGUGUUUAACAAAGUAGGAGGGGAGUAGAGUGUUCUCUGGUGUGUUUAACAGAGUGGGAGGGGAGUAGAGCUUUGUCUGUAGUGUUUAACAGAGUAGGAGGGGAGUAGAGUGUUCUCUGGUGUGUUUAACAGAGUAGGAGAAGAGUAGAGUGUUGUCUGUAAUGUUUAACAGAGUAGGAGGGGAGUAGAGUUUUGUGUGUAGUGUUUAACAGAGUAGGAGGGUGUAUAGUGUUGUCUGUAGUGUUUAACAGAGCAGGAGGGGAGUAGAGUAGAGCUUUGUCUGUGGUGUUUAACAGAGUAGGAGGGGAGUAGGGUGUUGUCUGUAAUGUUUAACAGAGUAUAAGGGGAGCAGAGUAGCGUGUUGUCUUUAGUGUUUAACAGAGUAUGAGGGGAGUAGAGUAGCGUGUUGUCUGUAGUGUGUAACAGAGUAGAAGGGGAGUAGAGUGUUGUCUGUAGUGUUUAACAGAGUAGGAGGGGAGGGGAGUAGAGUGUUAUCUGUAUUGUUUAACAGAGUAGGAGUGGAGUAGUGUUGUCUGUAGUGGUUAACAGAGUAGGAGGGGGGUAGAGGGUUGUCUGUAGUGUUUAACAGAGUGGGAGGGGAUUAGAGUGUUGUCUGUAGUGUUUAACAAAGUAGGAGGGGAGUAGAGUAGAGUGUUGUCUGUAGUGUUUAACAGAGUUGAGGGGGGUAGAGUAGAGUGUUGUCUGUAAUUUUAACAGAGUAUGAGGGAGUAGAGUAAAGUGUUGUAUGUAGUGUUUAACAGAGUAGCAGGGGAGUAGAGUGUUUUCUGUAGUGUUUAACAGAGUAGGAUUGGAAUAGAGUGUUGUCUGUAGUGUUUAACAGAGUAGAAGGGGAGUAUAAUUUUGUCUGUAGUGUUUAAAAGAGUAGGAGGGGAGUAGAGUAAAGUGUUGUCUGCAGUGUUUACAGAGUAGGAGGGGAGUAGGUCAGUGUUGUCUGUAGUUUUAACAGAGUAGAAUUUGAGUAGAUUAGAGUGUUGUCUGUAGUUUUUAACAGAGUAGGAGGGGAGUCGAGUCAAGUGUUUUCUGUUGUUUUUGAACAGAGUUGAAGGGGUGUGGAGUAAAGUGUUGUCUGUAGUGUUUAACAGAGAAGGAGGGGAGUAGAGUGUUGUCUGUAGUGUUUUACAGAUAGGAGGGGAGUAGAGUGCUGUCUGUAGUGUUUAACAGAGUUGCAGGGGAGUAGAGUUUUGUCUGUAGUUUUUAACAGGGUAGAAGGGGAGUUGAGUAGAGUGUUGUCUGUAGUGUUUAGCAGAGUUGGAGUUGAGUAGAGUAGAGUGUUGUCUGUAAUUUUAACAGAGUAGGAGGGAGUAAAGUGUUGUAUGUAGUGUUUAACAGAGUAGGAGGGGAAUAGAGUGUUGUCUGUAGUGUUUAACAGAGUAGCAUUUGAGUAGAUUAGAGUGGUGUAUGUAGUGUUUAACAGAGUUGAAGGGGAGUCGAGUAAAGUGCUGUCUGUAGUGUUUAACAGAGUAGGAGGGAGUAAAGUGUUGUCUGUAGUGUUUAACAGAGUAGGAGGGGAGUAGAGUGUUGUCUGUAGUGUUUAACAGAGUAGGAGGGGAGUAGAGUGUUGUCUGUAGUGUUUAACAGAGUAGGAGGGGAGUAGAGUGUUGUCUGUAGUGUUUAACAGAGUCGCAGGGGAGUAGAGUGUUGUCUGUAGUGUUUAACAGAGUAUGAGGGGAGUAGAGUGGAAUGUUGUCUGUAGUGUUUAACAGAGUAGGAGGGGAGUAUAAUUUUGUCUGUAGUGUUUAACAGAGUAGGAGGGGAGUAGAGUAAAGUGUUGUCUGUAGUGUUUAGCAGAGUAGGAGUGGAGUAGAGUAGAGUGUUGUCUGUUGUGUUUAACAGAUUAGGAGGGGCGUAAAGUAGAGUGUUGUCUGUAGUGUAUAGCUGUUGCAGGGCUGUUGGUUUGCUAAAUGUUUUCAGGAUGGAGCGAGGGCACUGCUCCUGCCGGUUAGUUCCUAGUCCCCUGGGCGCGUCGAGGAACAGAGGUAACCUAUUUUCUUUGGCAAGGUUGAGCAGUCACACAGACACUCUGUUUGUGUUGUUGAUUGCAGUUCUCUUUCUCUCUCUCUUCUCUUCCUAUCUCUUUCUCUCUCUUUCCCUUACAGUUUCUCUCUCUUUCUAUCUCUCUGUCUUUCUCUCUCUUUCUAUCUCUCUGUCUUUCUCUCUCCUUCUCUCUCUCCUCCCAACUUUCUCUCUCUGUUUUCUGUAUUCCUCCCUAUUUCUCUCUCCCUCCCUUCCCCUCUACCCCUAUCUCUAUCACACUGGGAUGAAUGCUGUCUUGCUGUGCUGUGUGUUUGCCUGCCUGGUUCAAGGCUGUGUUGUUAGUAAAUUGGACCAUUAGAAGACACUCUGACCUAACCAAAGGCAUUUUGUUCUUUCUGCUGUGUUUUUUCUCCUUCUCUCAGUAUAAAUAUACACCUUUGAUGGAACGGGAGAGACCGGAGAACCAUUAACAUAUCAUUAAAUGGCCAACAAAUUGGGGUGAACCUUGAAAUGAAGGGAAGAAAAAAAUAUUCUUUCUCUUUUACCCUCACAGUUUUCCCCCCUCAUAAUAAUUCAUGGUGAAAAUCAGAUAGUAGUUGUGACAGAGGUGAACCGCAACCACAAAGCUUGCCUCUUUUUCUUUCUUUCUUUCUCUCUCUCUCUUUCUAUCUCCCUACCACAC
Molecule: long non-coding RNA, 6400 nt
Filed under: Salmo salar (Atlantic salmon)
Lineage: Eukaryota; Metazoa; Chordata; Actinopteri; Salmoniformes; Salmonidae
Description: lncRNA (ENSSSAG00000082964.1)
Source: RNAcentral